AUCGCUUCUCGCCUUUUGGCUAAGAUCAAGUGUAGUAUCUGUUCUUAUCAGUUUAAUACUGAUACGUCCCCCAUCGGGGGACUAUACCAUAUUAAAUGGAUUUUUCGAACAGGGAGUCGGAAGCGGUGCUUGCUCCGUCCGCUCCACGCAUCGACUCGGUAUUGCAGUACCUCCGAGAACGGUGCACCCUCG
RNAcentral lists this small nuclear RNA (192 nucleotides) under Esox lucius (northern pike). Its description in RNAcentral is "U2 spliceosomal RNA". It matches the Rfam family "U2 spliceosomal RNA". Rfam says of the family: U2 is a small nuclear RNA (snRNA) component of the spliceosome (involved in pre-mRNA splicing). Complementary binding between U2 snRNA (in an area lying towards the 5' end but 3' to hairpin I) and the branchpoint sequence (BPS) of the intron results the bulging out of an unpaired adenosine, on the BPS, which initiates a nucleophilic attack at the intronic 5' splice site, thus starting the first of two transesterification reactions that mediate splicing. Lineage: Eukaryota; Metazoa; Chordata; Actinopteri; Esociformes; Esocidae. The record is from Rfam by way of RNAcentral.